AAAAAAAAAAAAAAAAAAACUUUACAAAACAAUUUACAAAACAAAAGUUUGAGAAGAACAUAUAUAAAUUUAAAAUUAGUACAUAUAUAUAUAUAUAAUAUAUAUAAUACUCAAUCAGAAACCGACUUAUAAAAAUAAAAUAUUUUUUUUCUUUUAUUUUAUUGAAGUAAAGAAAAAAAAUAUUUUUAUGUUUAUGUAAAGUCAAAAUAUAAAUAUAUAGUUAUAUAUAUAUAUAAC
This 237-nucleotide unclassified non-coding RNA is filed under the name Hevea brasiliensis (rubber tree). The record is from RNAcentral. Lineage: Eukaryota; Viridiplantae; Streptophyta; Magnoliopsida; Malpighiales; Euphorbiaceae.